Myotis davidii is the source of this 580-nucleotide long non-coding RNA. RefSeq lists it as uncharacterized. The transcript has 3 exons. Lineage: Eukaryota; Metazoa; Chordata; Mammalia; Chiroptera; Vespertilionidae. The record is from RefSeq and is a predicted model, not a curated record.
UGAAUGAGGAAGUGACAGGGGAGUGUGUGGAUGUGUGUGGUGUGUGUGUGAGUGAGUGAAGGACAGUUAAAUCCAGCAGGAGCAACAGAGGCUGGCAGAGCAGGCUCUCUGGGACAGGGAGAGACUACCACUGCUGUAGACACUCCCUGAAUUGCGGGACUCGGCACGGAUCCCACAUUAUCAUGAAGGGGAGAGCGGCUUCUUCUAGGAACUCAUCAGUACCACCACCCAGACAGGCCUUGGACACUGCCCAGCAGCCACUCCAGCCAAAAUCCUGAUGCCCCACCCACAGACCCGCGAACCCUGGGACUUCCAACUCCAAAGGUGCACCGCUCCCACAGGAGUAAGUGCAACACCUCCCUCCCCAGCAGCAGAACUGUAGACAUCACAUUCAUGCAUUUCCAACAUUCGCAUGUUUCCAACAUUCAUGCAUUUCCAGCGCGCAGACUUCCAGGGCACACCACUCCAUAGACAGCUCUUGGAAUGCCGCUGUGAACUCCUGCUGGGUAGGAUUUUGAACAGACAAGGGUAUGCUGCCUCACAGUAGAAAUUCUGAAUUCCCUCUUCCUGAAUAACUGCC